Molecule: ribosomal RNA, 508 nt
Filed under: Cinygma sp. BYU IGCEP123
Lineage: Eukaryota; Metazoa; Arthropoda; Insecta; Ephemeroptera; Heptageniidae
Description: partial 16S ribosomal RNA
Rfam family: Bacterial large subunit ribosomal RNA
Source: RNAcentral
CGCCUUUUGAAAGUAUAAAAGGUUUAGCCUGCCCACUGAAAAAUUAAAGGGCCGCGGUAUAUUGACCGUGCAAAGGUAGCAUAAUCAUUAGUCUUCUAAUUAAAGGCUGGAAUGAAUGGCUGGACGAGGUGCUAGCUGUCUCACUGGGAUAAACUAAAAUUUAACUUUUUAGUCAAAAGGCUAAAAUAGUAUUGGAGGACGAGAAGACCCUAUAGAUCUUUAUGCUUUAAUUGUUUAAUUCAUUUAGGAGUAGCUGAAUUUUAUAGGAUAAGUAUUUUGUUGGGGUGACAAGAAGAUGGGAUAAACUAUUCUUUAAUUAAACCAUUAAUGUAUGAAUGUAUGAUCCACUAGUGUGAUUAAAAGACUAAGUUACCUUAGGGAUAACAGCGUAAUCCUUUUUGAGAGUUCUGAUCGACAAAAGGGGUUGCGACCUCGAUGUUGGACUAAGGGUUAUUCUUGGGUGUAGCAGCUCAGGGUUUAGGUCUGUUCGACCUUUGAAUCCUUACAU